GUGACAGUCUUGUUAACGUAUACCACAUAUGUAAUAACUUAGCUAACCCUAAAUACUGUACCUUUAGUUUAAAUUUAGUCCCUUGGAGCUUGACCUGGAAGCCCCAUCCUGUACCAGACUUUCAUGUAUAGUAGGCUCUUCUCAGCUGAGCUGUGCCCCCCUUUGACUCAGACACCAAACAGCAGUAUUCAGUGGAAGAAUCCAGAAAGAUAUUUCCGCUACUUACCACUUCAGCAAAUGGACGUCAAACCAAAGCGCCUGCACAUGCAUCCGCAGCAGAGAAGUGGAAGACCUGCAGGAAAGAAUUGUUGAUAGCUGCUUAAUCAAAGCAACACUGGGUUUUCUGGUAAAGAGCAGAAAUGAUGGUUCCGUCGUCUCAGCCCUGAAGCAGAGAAGCAGCCCCAGACUGUCACACCACCACCAC
This is a long non-coding RNA of Oreochromis aureus, 424 nucleotides long. The record is from Ensembl. NCBI's taxonomy places the organism in Eukaryota, Metazoa, Chordata, Actinopteri, Cichliformes, Cichlidae.